RNAcentral lists this ribosomal RNA (583 nucleotides) under uncultured Glomeromycotina. RNAcentral describes it as "LSU rRNA". It matches the Rfam family "Eukaryotic large subunit ribosomal RNA", at positions 204 to 637 of the family's 3401-position model. Lineage: Eukaryota; Fungi; Glomeromycota. The record is from RNAcentral.
CAUGGAGGGUGAGAAUCCCGUCCGGUUGACCUUGUGACGCUUUACGAUACGUUUUCUAAGAGUCGAGUUGUUUGGGAUUGCAGCUCAAAAUGGGAGGUAAAUUUCUCCUAAGGCUAAAUAUUGGCGAGAGACCGAUAGCGAACAAGUACCGUGAGGGAAAGAUGAAAAGAACUUUGAAAAGAGAGUAAAAUAGUACGUGAAAUUGUUGAAAGGGAAACGAUUGAAGUCAGUCGUACCGACGGAAAAUCAGCUCUUUGAGUGCGGACUUGUGGGCUUACGUGAGUUUUAACACCUCGCUGUUUGCAACGUUCGUGUUUUUUGGGUGUACUUUUUCGUAUGGUUGGCCAAUAUCAGUUUUGAUCGCUAUAAAAUGACCGGCGGAAUGUAGCUUCGAUCUCGAUUGAAGUGUUAUAGCCUCUGGUUGAUGUGGUGAUUGGGACUGAGGAUUGCAACGAAUACCUUUUGGGCUAUCCGUCUGAUCUCUGAAGGUUGCUUAGGUGCCGAAAGCAUGCUUACGGUUAUUUAAGUUGACAGUCAAAAGGUUAGAACGUGAUUAUAUUCGUUAAGGAUGUUGACGUAAUGG